Molecule: ribosomal RNA, 1047 nt
Filed under: Triticum aestivum (bread wheat)
Lineage: Eukaryota; Viridiplantae; Streptophyta; Magnoliopsida; Poales; Poaceae
Description: partial small subunit ribosomal RNA
Source: RNAcentral
GUGCACCGGUCGCGGGCGUCUCUCGCGAAGCACAGGGCGAGGAAGUGCUUCGCCUCCGCGGACAGCCACGCCGGCACCUCCGGCACGGCGUCCGUGUAGCCGAUCCGGUGCAUCGCCGCGAGGACGUCGUCCAUGUCGCUCCACGGGGCGCGGCCGGUGGCCAUCUCGACGACGGUGCAGCCCAGCGCCCAGACGUCGGCCGCGGGGCCCUGCUCCUCGCCCCGUGCCACCUCCGGCGCCAUGAACGCCGGCGUGCCCCCGAUGGGCCGAUCGGAAGAACCCACCGCCCUCGCACACACGAAGUCCGCGAUCUUCGCUCGGCCGUCGGCGCCGACCACGACGUUUCUCGCCUUCACGUCCCCGUGGACGAGGGACCUCCCGUGGAGGUACGCCAGGCCUCUAGCCACAUCGGCGGCGUACGCCCGGACAGCGCCCUCCUCGAGCCGGCCGCCGCACCUCUCGGCGACGUCGGCGACGGAGCCGCCCGGCGCGAACUCGAGGAAGAGCUGGCACUCGCCGGCGGCGGCGCGGAAGCCGAGGCAGGGCAAGACGUGCGGCGAGCUGAGGCCGGACAGGAUGUCGCCCUCGCGCCGGAGCUGGUCCGCGGCGGCAGCGGGCGCCGACUUGACGGCGAAGAGCGCGCCCAAGAGGUCGUCGGCGGCGAGGGACACCACGGCGCCGGACGCGCCGCGGCCGAGCGUGCGGACGCGUGUCCAGCUGCCGCCGACCGCCGCCUCCAUUUCUUUUCUCGGUUCCUGCAGGCAGGCAAGAGGCAGGAGGUGUUUCGAAUUUGUGGUGGCUGCGAGUAGUUUGCUCGCUCGAUUGGUUUCCCUUGUGCGAUUUGAUUUGAAGUGGAGCUCGGGCUCGGCGUGGAUGGAUGUAUAUAUGGCGGGGCCGGAAAAUACAGGUGGCGUGGCGUGGCUUCGAUUUCGAUCCGUACCAAUUCCGCGGUGUGGUGUGAAAAGCAUGUGCCCAGCUGCGCGAGGAAACGGGAGGGUGGGCGUUGACGGGACACUGUCGCGUGGGCCGGGCGAGUCGGAGGCCUAG